Molecule: small RNA, 492 nt
Filed under: Pseudo-nitzschia cf. arenysensis CBA160
Lineage: Eukaryota; Bacillariophyta; Bacillariophyceae; Bacillariales; Bacillariaceae
Description: eukaryotic LSU rRNA
Rfam family: Eukaryotic large subunit ribosomal RNA
Source: RNAcentral
CUAGGAUUCCCUCAGUAACGGCGAGUGAAGCGGGACUAGCUCAGGAUGUGAAUCUGCGCUGUAUGGCGCCGAAUUGUGGUCUAUAGACUUUGACGUUAUCUGCCGGGCCAAGUUCCUUGGAAAAGGACAGCUGAGAGGGUGAGACUCCCGUCCGCCUGGUAGAGUGAGUCGUUGUCAACGAGUCGAGUUGUUUGGGAUUGCAGCUCUAAUUUGGUGGUAAAUUCCAUCUAAAGCUAAAUAUUGGUGGGAGACCGAUAGCGUACAAGUACCGUGAGGGAAAGAUGCAAAGAACUUUGAAAAGAGAGUUAAAGAGUACCUGAAAUUGCUGAAACGGAAGCGAAGGAAACCAGUGUUUGUUGGUUCAUAUUUCCCUGGCCACUUGUGGUUUGGGCGCUGUGAGCUUGCGUGGGUUUGCUUUGGUUGAUCCCUUUGGAAGAGCGCAGUCAGAGUUGAUGUCUGUUGCUAGCACUGGGUUUGACUAAUGCAGACGAA